UACGAAGGGGGCGAGCGUUGUUCGGAAUUACUGGGCGUAAAGGGCGCGUAGGCGGCCGAUCAAGUCAGAUGUGAAAGUCCUGGGCUUAACCUGGGGACUGCAUUUGAUACUGAUUGGCUUGAAUGCAGGAGAGGAUAGCGGAAUUCCCAGUGUAGAGGUGAAAUUCGUAGAUAUUGGGAAGAACACCGGUGGCGAAGGCGGCUAUCUGGACUAUGAUUGACGCUGAGGCGCGAAAGCGUGGGGAGCAAACAGG
RNAcentral lists this ribosomal RNA (253 nucleotides) under uncultured bacterium. Its description in RNAcentral is "partial 16S ribosomal RNA". It matches the Rfam family "Bacterial small subunit ribosomal RNA", at positions 524 to 776 of the family's 1533-position model. The record is from RNAcentral.